GUGCGUGGCGUGUCCGCUGGACCAGGGGACGGGGGCGCGCCGCAGGUGUAGGAGCUUUGCGCGCCUACCUGGCGGUCGUGGGUCGAGGAGGGGUCAAGAAUUGUUGUCUAGCAGCCCUCUCCCCGCUGCCCUGUCCUGGCCGAGGCAAAGGCCGCGUGCGCUCCGCGUCUGCCAGGCUUUAGGGCUGCGCGGACACUGGGUGGGUGGUGGGCCGAGGCGACCGGAAGGUCCUGGCCGCCUUUCCGGUCUCCUCAGCACCCUGGAGCGCCGCCCUCGGGUUUCGGUCUCCUGGAUCUGCGGGUCGGUCUCGGCGGGCGGAUUACUCCUCGCCCACAACCUCGAGGCCCCGGGGUCAACCGCGCCCUCCGGGCCGGCAACCCAGGGUUUAGUCAGAUUCCUCCUGACCCACCGCUUCUGGGAAAGAGGCGCCUCCCGUCAGGAGGAUGCUGAGUUCCUCAUGACUGGACCAGUGAGUGUCCACUCCCUGGUCCCUGGCGAGAGAGGCGGGACCCCCACGCCCUCCUGGCGCUCUUUGCAGAGAUGUUCCUCAGGCCCAAUCCGGGAUUUGGGAUGUCUGUGCGUGCUGUGGAGCAGAGAGUUUGCAACAUGGUCUCACUUUGUCACCCAGGCUGGAAUGCAUUGGCAUGAACACGUCUCACUGCAGCCUCAACCUCCCAGGCUGAAGUGACCCUCCAACUCUGCUUUCACAGUAGCUGUGAUAUGGUUUGGCUGUGUCCCCACCCACAUCUCAUCUUAAAACCCAGUGGGAGGUAAUUGAAUCAUGGGGGCAAGUCUUUCCUGUGCUGUUCUUGUGAUAGUGAAUAAGUCUCAUGAGAUCUGAUGGUUUUUAAAAGAGUUCUGGCUGGGCAUGGUGGUGGGCACCUGUAAUCCAAACUACUAGGGAGGCUGAGGCAGAGUGAAUUGCUUGAACCUGGGAGAAGGAGGUUGCAGUGAGCCGAGAUUGCACCGCUGCACUCCAGCCUGGGCAAAAUUGAAGACUCUGUCUCCAAAAAAAAAAAAAAGGAGUUCCUCUGCAUAAGCUCUCUCUCUUUGCCUGCUGCCAUCCAUGUAAGAUGUGACUUGCUCUUCCUUGCCCUAUGAUUGUGAGUCUUUCCCCAGCCACGUGGAACUGUAAGUCCAAAUAAACCUCUUUCUUUUGUAAAUUGCCCAGUCUUGGGUAUGUCUAUCAGCAGCAUGGAAAUGGACUAAUACAGUAAAUUGGUACCAGUAGAGUGGGGUGUUGCUGAAAAGAUACCUGAAAAUGUGAAAGUGACUUUGGAACUGGGUAGCAGGCAAACAUUGGAACAGUUUGGAGGGCUCAGAAGAAGACAGGAAAAUGUAGGAAAGUUUGGAACUUCCUAGAGACUUGUUGAAUGGCAUUGACAAAAAUGCUAAUAGUGAUACGAACAAUAAGAUCCAGUCUGAGGUGGUCUCAGAUGGAGAUGAGGAACUUGUUGGGAACUGGAGCAAAGGUGACUCUUGUUAUGUUUUAGCAAAGAGACUGGUGACAUUUUGCCCCUGCCCGAGAGAUUUGUGGAACUUUGAACUUGAGGGAGAUGAUUUAGGGUAUCUGGUGGAAGACAUUUCUUUUUUUUUUUUUGUGACGGAGUCUUGCAUUGUCGCCUGGGGUGGAGUGCAAUGGUCUGAUCUCAGCUUACUGGGUUCAAGCAAUUCUGUCUCAGCCUCCCGAGUAGCUGGGAUUACAGGCGUCCGCCACCACGCCCUUCUAAUUUUUUGUAUUUUUAGUAGAGACGGUUUCACUAUGUUGGCCAGUGGAAGACAUUUCUAAGCAGCAAAGCAUUCAAGAGGUGGCUUGGGUGUUGUUAAAGGCAUUCUGUUUUGACUGGGUGCGGUGGUGCACACCUAUAAUCCCAGCACUUUGGGAGGCCGAGGAGGGUGGAUCAAGAGGUCAGGAGUUCAAGACCAGCCUGGCCAAUAUGGUGAAACCCUGUCUCUACUGGAAAUACAAAAAUUAGCUUGGCAUGGUGGUGUGCGCCUGUAGUCCCAGCUUCUCGGGAGGCUGAGGCAGGAGAAUCGCCUGGACCCGGGAGGUGGAGGUUCCAUUGAGCCAAGAUCAUGCCACUGACUCCAGCCUGGGCAACAGACUGAGACUCUGUCUCAAAAAAAAAGAAAAAAAAAAAGGCAUUCAGUUUUAUAAGGGAAGCAGAGCAUAAAAGUUUGGGAAAUUUGCAGCCUGACAAUGUGAUAGUAAAGAAAAUCCCAUUUUCUGAGAGGAAAUUCAAGCUGGCUGCAAAAAUUUGCAUAAGUACCAAGGAGCCGAAUGUUAAUAUCCAAGACAAUGGGGAAAAUAUCUCCCAGACAUGUCAGAGGUCUUCAUGGCAGCCCCUCCCAUCAACAGGUCCAGAGGCCUAGGAGGAAAAAGUGGUUUUGUGGGCAGCACCCAGGGUCCCCAUGCUAUGUGCAGCCUAGGGACUUGGUGCCGUGCGUCUCAGCUCCUCCAGUGGUGACUGAAAGGGGCCAACAUAGAGCUCGGGCUGCUGCUUCAUGGGGUGGAAGUCCCAAAUCUUGGCAGCUUCCAUGUGGUGUUGAGCCUGCGAGUACAUAGAAGUCAAGAAUUGGGGUUUGGGAACCUCCAUCUAGAUUUCAGAAGAUAUAUGGAAAUUCCUGGAUGCCCAGGCAGAAGUUUGCUGUAGGGGUGGGGCCUUCAUGGAGAACCUCUGCUAGAGCAGUGCAGAAGGGAAAUGUGGGGUCGGAGCCCCCACACAGAGUCCCCGCUGCGGCCCUGCCUGAUGGAGCUGUGAGAAGUGGACCACCGUUCUCCAGACCCCAGAAUGGUAGAUCCACCGACAGCUUGCACCGUGUGCCUGGAAAAGCUGCAGACACUCAAUGCCAGCCUAUGAAAGCAGCCUGGAGGGAGGCUUUACCCUGCAAAGCCACAGAAGUGGAGCUGCCCAAGACCAUGGGAAUCCACCUCUUGCAUCAGUGUGACCUGGAUGUGAGACAUGGAGUCAAAGGAUAUCAUUUUGAAGCUUUAAGAUUUGACUGCCCUGCUGGAUUUCAGACUUGCAUGGGUCCUGUAGCCCCUUUGUUUUGGCCAAUUUCUCCCAUUUGGAAUGGCUAUAUUUACCCAAUGCUUAUACCACCAUUCUAUCUAGGAAGUAAAUAACUUGCUUUUGAUUUUACAAGCUCCGCCUCCCAGGUUCACGCCAUUCUCCUGCCUCAGCCUCCCGUGUAGCAGGCAUUGUCACAGGCGCCUGCCACCACACCCACCUAAUUUUUUUGUAUUUUUAGUAGAGACGGGGUUUCACCGUGUUAGCCAGGGUGGUAUCGAUCUCCUGACCUUGUGAUCCGCCCACCUUGGGCUCCCAAAGUGUUGAGAUUACAGGCGUAAGCCACUGCACCCGGCAAUAAACCUCUUUCUUUUGUAAAUUGCCCAGGUAUGUCUUUAUCAGCAGCAUGAAAAUGGACUCAUACAAUGAUCCAUUACCUAGGGUAAAAUUCUCCUGAAUGUCAAACAGAGAUAAACUACAUUUGGGUUUUGGGUAAGUCCCCUGUAAUGAUGAAUCAAGAAUCCUCAAGUCUGUCUUGCCACCCAUUUAAUACGUAUUUUUGUUAAGGCUGAAGUUUAGAGUUAGAAUCAGGACAUUUUGGCCUAUUGAGAGGUUCUGAAUUCCAACAGAAGAUGCCAUGUAAAUCAGUGAAUUUGAUUCUUUUAAAAGCAACUUACAAAAUUUACAAGAUGUAUUCAAUAAAGCAGUUUAGCUUUGGUAUAUCAAACCUUAUAAUGAACCAUUUUUCCCACUUCAUCUUAUGCAAUGUUUAAUAUUUUCUAUUUUUGUCAAGGAUAUUAAACCUACACCUGGAAACAUAUUAAAUGCCAACUUAAAAUGUGAGAAGUUUGGCAGAACUCAGACCCAUUCUUCCAAUUUCCAAGCUGUUUAAUCACACUGAUUCAGACACUCUGGAUAGCAGCUGGGAUUGUAGUUAUCUUUAUGCUUUGAGCUCUCUAGUUUUGUCUACACAUCUUAUAAAAUAUCCCCUCCUCAUUCUCCUCUAGCUGGAACACUAACCCAAUGGAUGUUGUGGUGAACUUUCUUUGACCAGGCAGAGAAGUGCAGCAUUGGGUGGACCAUGCACAACCAGUUUGAGAAGCACUGCUCUAGGGGUUGGGGGAGCAACAAUAGAAAGAGUGUAGGUUCUGAAUACCUGAAGCAUACAUUUUAGCUCUAGACUGCUUAUAUUGUUGUUACAUGAAAGAGAACUUUUAAUCUGGUUUAAACCACUGGAUCUCUUUAUUCCAGCAAGUGAAUCUAUAUCCAACUAAUAUUUACUCCCAGUCUGUUCUUUCUCACCCCUCUUUCCCUUACUAUAAACCUUUUCUAUAUCAAUUUAUAUCAUUAGUUGCUCAGCCCACAAACCAGAUGUCACUUUUGUUUUCUCUUUUCCUUCCCAUUCAUAGCCAGGCCAUCGUUGUGACUUAUUGGCUGUACCUCCAAAAUAUAUCCCAGAUCUGAUCUCUUCUUAUAAUUUGUACUGCUACAACCUUAGUCAAAGCCACUAAUAUCUCUUAUCUGAACUCCAGUGGUUUACUAGUUUUCUGCCUCUCUUCUUGACACAAUUCAUCUUUCUACAUAGCAGCCAGAGUAAGAUAAAAUCAUAAAUCAGAUCAUAUAACUUCUACCCCCUGUACCAAUGGCUAUCUUUUAUACUCAGAAUAAAAUCCAAAACCUUUAUUUGGCUUCCAAGAUCCUACAAGAUAGAGACCUUACUUCUCAUCUUGUACCCAUCAUUUGAUCUUCAGUCCCUUGAAAAUGCCAAGUCUAUUUCCAUUUCAGGGCCUUUGUGCUUGUUACUAUUGUUUCUUUUCUCUUGGAAAACUGCCCAGAUCUUUCCUUAGCUGAAUUAUUCAGAUCCCAACUCAAAUAUCAUCUCUUUAGAAAAUUCUUUCAGAACCAGGUGUGGUGGUGCACACCUGUAAUCUCAGCUACUCGAGUGGCUGAGGCUGAUGGAUUUCUUGAGCCCAGAAGUCUGAGGCCAGCCUGGGCAAUAUAGCAAGAUCCUGUCAAAAAGAAAAAGGUAUCUCACCAUGAUUAUAUUUUAAUUUCCCUUCAGCAAUUAGAAGUCCCUGAAAUUAAUUUACCUUAUUUGUUGGCAACCUCUGCCUCCUGGGUUCAAGCGAUUCUCCUGCCUCAGCCUCCUGAGUAGCUGGGAUUACAGGCGUGCACCACCACGCCUGGCUAAAUUUUGUAUUUUUAGUAGAGAUGGGGUUUUGCCGUGUUGGUCAGGCUGGUCUCGAACUCCUGACCUCUGAUCUGCCCACCUCGGCCUUCCAGAGUGCUGGGAUUACAGGCAUGAGCCACCAUGGGCCCACAAAGCUAUUUUACUUAGCAUUUUUUUUCCCGAGGCUAAAUUGGGAACUACUGACAAUACUAUUGACAAUACUAAAUAUAUUUUUAAAUUAUUUUACUUAUUUUUGAGACAGGGUCUCACUGUGUCACCCACGCUGUAGUGCAGUGAACCAUCACCACUCACUGCAGUCUCACCCUUCCUGAACUCAGGUGAUCCUCCCACCUCAGCCUCCUGAGUAGCUGGGACUACAGGCAUGCACCACCAUGCCUGGCUAAUUUUUAAAAUUUUUUGUAGAGAUGGAGUUUCGCCAUGUUGCCCAGGCUGGUCUCAAACUUCUGGGUUCAAGUGAUGCAAGUGUCUCAGCCUCCUAAAGUGCUAGGAUUACAGGCGUAAGCCACUAUGCCCAGCCUUUUAUUUUAUUUUAUUUUAUUUAUUUAUUUUUUGAGACAGAGUCUUGUUCUGUUGCCCAGGCUAGAGUGCAGUGGUGCAAUCUCAGCUCACUGCAACCUCUGCCUCCCAGGUUCAAGCGAUUAUCAUGUCUCAGCCUCCCUAGUAGCUGGGAUUACAAGUGUGCACCACACGCGGCUAAUUUUUGUAUUUUUUGUAGAGGCAGAGAGGCAGGGUUUUAUUAUGUUGGCCAAGCUGGUCUUGAACUCCUGGCCUCAAGUGAUCUGCUCACCCCGGCCUCCCAAAGUGCUGAGAUUACAGGUGUGAGCCACCAUGCCCACCAACCUAUUUUUUAUUUUAAAAAAUUGACAGCAUACUAAAUGUUUGUAAUGCAAAUGAUAAAAUUGCUACAAUGAAAACAAGAAGUUGAGAAUUAGAUGAAGAGUUGAUUAAGGGAACUAUGAGUCACUGUGUUAGAGCAUGUAUAUUAUGAAAAUUAUAGCAGAAGUGAUAAAGGGUGACAAUUGUUACCUAUCUUCAAUCAAAAGCUCUUUGAAUAUCUUUCUUUUUUUUAAUUUUAUGAAUUUUUUUUACAGAGACAGGGUCUCACUAUAUUGCCCAGGUUGGUCUCGAACUCCUGGGCUCAAGGGAUCCUCUUGCCUUGGCCUCACAAAGUACCUGGAUUACAGGCAUGAGCCACAGUGCCUGGCCCUCUUUGAAUAUCUUUAAUGCUUUUAGAGAUUAGCAUCAGAGAAUUAUUAAUACUAGAGGGCACAAGGAAUUAGCCAUUGCCAGUGGACACCUACAUAGGUGUGACUAUGUGACUCAGUUUUAAAAAUGUGACACAAUGAAAAAAUUCCUUGGAUGUUAUGGAGGACGAAAAUUUUGUAAGUCCUAUCCAUUCUUUAAUGGAGAAACUAAAAUUUACAAUAUUACUUUAUUUAGCCCAAGAUUUUCUUAAGCUUUGUAUUUUCUAAUUCAGCUUUGGCUUACAGAAUCAUGCUUGAAGUUUGAGACUGCCAGCUUUCAACAGGCAGUUACUAGUGAAACUCUUUGGAAAGAUGAGAAGAUGUUGACAUAAGUGUAAUGUGAGACAAAGCAAAGUAAAAUGUAAUUUUUAAGAAAAUGUUGCCGGGUGUGAUGGUGGCUCAUGUUGCUGUUGGUUGCUAUGGGAGUGAACGAAGGGGGACGAAUGCAGAAAUGAAGACAAAGACAAAAAGAGUAUUUUUGGAAGAAGGGGUCAGGGGACUCCUUGCUUCUAGUGGGCAAGGGCCCUGAGCUUCUACAGCCCUUCAUAUUUAUUAGGUAGAAAGAGCAGGGAGGGAGAGGUAACAGUUGGUCAGCUGCUUGAUUUAUCACAGGUACACAUAAUUGCUUCCUUUGUACAACAGGCUUCAGAUGUUACUAUAGAUAAUCACAAGGAACACUGCGCUUGGGGCAUGACUGCCCUCAGCAACCCUUCUGGCGGCAGACACAGUUGUUAGUUUUCCAACAUCCUGCUUUCAUGAGAACAGUUUUCUGUUUGCUCAUAUAGCCUUCAGUGGUAUACUGAGUUGGUCACGACCUUCAUUCUUUCGGCCUGUAACAUCUCCCCAUUUUUGUUUUUGCAUUAAUUGAAUAAAGGUAAUUGCAGGUUGUGCAGCUCUCAAUUGCCGUUUGGUGGUCCAGCUGAUUUUGCAGACUGUUAACAAAAAACAAAAAUAUAAUAACAUUAAUCCCAUAGUUACAAAAAAGACAUUGAGAUGCUAUUUGAAGUAGGUCCCAGGGUUAAGGCUGUCUAAACCUUGCUGGAAUUCUGCCCAAGCUUUUAAAGAGGGCUGAAACGCUUGAGUCUGCUUAUUCAAGUUAAGGAUUUUACUUUGUAAAUCAUUAAUAUCAAAAGUAACAUUGAAUGUGAAAGCUCCCUGUAAAUGGGCUUUUACAAGGCUCAAUGGAUAUUCACUUUGGUUAUAUACCAAAUUGGUCACACAAAUAUGAGUAUGAUUAAAAUGACAACGCAUUGCUGCUGCAACUGCAAACUUUGUACUUGUUCCCCUAGCCAUAGAACAGUAGUCUUUAACAUUGCCACCUCUGUUUGUAUUUCGGUGUUAAUUUUAUUUUGAAGCAUCCAUGCCUGGUCGACUGUGCAUGUCCAGUUUUCCACAUAUUGAGCUGUUUGAAUGGAGCUGUGCGUUGCUGCUGAGGACAACACAACAGAGGUUAUUAAUGUAACUAAGGAGACUAUAACAAAAAUUAUCAUGCCUAAGGCUCUAUGAGCACGAUGAGUAAGCGGAGUAAAAAGGAGUUUCAUAAGAUGUAAAGCGGGGGUGGCUGCCCAAGGCUAAGAUAAAUUUACAGGAAUUCAUAAUCCAGGAACAUGACCUAGAAUUGUUAGGGUGGAUAUGUCAUGUGUUUGUAUUGUGCUAUGAUUAAGGCAAUGAUACAGUUGACAGGAAUCACAAGUCAAUUGGGCAUCAUCUACCUGGAGGUGGGUUUUUUUUGCUGCUAAGAAAAUAUAAGGAUUAAAAACAAAUUGUAAAUUGAGUGGUAAUAUUUUCUACAAGGGUAACAUUAAAACUGUGUUUAGCACAAUUACUAUUAUUGGAUAGUGUCCCAAUCCAAAUGCUGCCAUUCAUAAAUGGGAGUGCUGCUUUCCAUAUUGACUCCUGAAUUGGACCUCUCUUUCCUUGAUAAUGCCAUUGAGGCAAAGGUGAGCUAAAGCAUGUGCUGUGUCAAGCAAUUUGGGCAGCAGAUUGAGAUUGAAUUGCAAUGUGAUGUAGUGGGAGAUGUUAAAGUUUUGCCACCAGUUCCAGCAAAGUUAAUGCCAUGAGGUCUGAUGCUCAUGUCUCCCAACCAAAUGACCAUGGGGACCCCAGUAAAUAAUGUCUCCCAUUAGCAUGGACUGUUGUCUAGCUAGGGAGCUAAGACACGGGGUCCAAGGAGGGGGGUUAGAAUUAUCAAAGGGAGCCCAUUCUAUAUAAUUAAUACAAUUUGGGUGAUGGGGCCGGGAGUGAUUAGUAACUACACCAGUAAUAUUAGUAGAACUAAGGCCCAAUAGGUACGUAAAUUUUCCAUGGUAACUCAACCAUGCCUGGGAUUGAAUUGCAAGGCAACUGCAGUUGAGCAGUGUAUCCUGGGUGAUGCAUAAAGAAAGGCCCUCCAAUGGAGUGGUAUAAUUGAUACCAUUGUUCUGAGAGUCUAAUUGCUCUGUGUCAGGGGGAGUUAAGGGUCCCGGUGCCCAUGCUCCUUGAUCAUGAUAUAUCUCAGGAGGAGUGUCACCCCGGUCAUACUACCGGGGGGUUAGGAACAUAAGCCCAAUAUGUUUUUGCCUCUGCACAGGGAAAACAUAGCACACAGGAUAUCAUAGCUAGCAUGGCCAUAAACAUGGAGUCAGGGGUUUUUGCCUGACCCUGAUGCUCCAGCAGUUUCUCAUCUUCUUGUGUGGUUUUCUUGAUCUGUAAAACACAAGCAUACCCUCAUCCCCAUGUCAGUAAAUCUACCAGGCCUUUCCAUUGUCCUUCUUCCAGGGAUUUCCAUAAUACUUUUGGGUAAACUUUCCUUUUUCCCUCUAACAUUUGCCAGUGUCAUUCUACCGGAGUCUUAUUAUCUGUACCAGGAGUUAAAAAAUUUAAAGUAAAUAAUGCUAAAUGUAGUAUUGUUUGAGGUGGUAACUGGUCUCCUAUACCUCCUUUUUGUUUUUUCAGCGCAUGUUGUAAUGUUUGAUGUGCCUGCUCUAUAAUUCCUUGUCCUCGAGGGUUAUAAGGAAUUCUUGUUUUGUGAGUGACUGCCUAUAACUGUAAACAAUUUUGAAAAGCAUGACUAACUUAAGCAGGUCCAUUGUCAGUUUUUAAUUGUUUAGGGACCCUCAUAUCGGCAAAUGACAACAGACAAUGUCAUUGGACAUGGCCAGCUGUUUCACCUGUUUGACAUGUAGCAUGCAGCAUAUGAGAAUAAGUGUCUAUAGUCAUAUGAACAUAGCUAAGUUUGUCAAAGGCUGCUAUAUGUGUAACAUCAAUUUGCCAGAUUUCAUUUGGAGCUAAGCCUCGUGGGUUACAUCCUUCUACCGGUAUAACACCAGGGACAUGCUGACAAGUGGGGCAGGCUUGCACAAUAGCUCGAGCCUGGCUUCGAGGCAGAUGAAACAUACAAGUAAGGGCAGAGGUGUUUUGAUGCAGUAAUGCAUGAGAGGCUUCAGCUUGCUGAAACACAGAACCAAUCAAUUUAUCUGCUCUAUCAUUACCUAGAGGUAGUGGUCCAGGAAGUUGUGUGUCAGAGCGAAUAUGAGAAAUUUGAAAAGGAGCAGCAUGAGAGCAAACAGCUCGCUGAAGUCUUAGAAACAAGUUAAACAGCUCUGGUUCUAGGGUGCUUUUAAUAGUAGCAGUCUCAAUGCGACUGGCUACAUUUACAACAUAGGCUAAAUCACAGACAAUAUUAAUAGGAGAGGAAGCAGUGAGCUGUAAAACCUGAAUAACUGCCAUUAAUUCUGAGCAUUGAGCUGAAACACCAGGGAUUUUUAUUGUUUUAAUAUGCUUAGGUCCAUAAAUAGAUGCUCAGACUUUGGAAGAGCCGUCAGUGAAAUAAGUCUGGCCACCUGGAAUAGGCUUGUGAUGAGUAAUCACAGGGAGGAUAAAAGGGUAAACUUUAUAAAAUUGCAAAACUUUGUCUGAUGGAUAAUGAUUAUCUAUUAUUCCUUUGCUUCAGCCAACAUCGUAGAGCGAUGAAGCUCAGUUCCCACAUCCUGACAAGCUUUGAUAAAAUUUCCUAAGCUUUUUAUACAUCUCACAGAUGCCAAUGCAUGUUUACAGUCCGUGUUUGCAUUCUCAAAAGCUAGUUAAGGUUAGCAUUUCUGUAGCCAUGGUAAGAGAAAUCUGACACUUCACUGCCUAUGGUAAUCUUGCAAGAAAAUGUGCAUAGAGCUCCUGUGACCCUUUCAUGAUAUGUAAGAGAUUGUACUGGGACCCUUUCCUCUGGAAUUGUGGCCCAGGUGCGUUUAACAGCCAAGGCACACUGCUUACAAGCAGCGUCUGGGAGUGCUAUUUGAUGUUCUAGGUCUGAAUAGGGGCCACUGCCUAACAGCAUCCUCUGUAAUGUCUCUGUGUCCAGCAGCACGAUUCUAUCUAGCCUGGUCUGCACACAGUUCUUGCCAAUUUAAAUACCAUAUCAGGUAUGCACUAGCAGACAAACAAGUGCAAGCCAAAUGCUUUACAUCAAAGGGUGGAAGGCGCAUAGCGCCAAAUAGAUUCUAGCAGUCCUAAAGUAAAUGGGCUUUGUAUUCCAUUAUUAACUACACUAGCUUUUAAUUCCUUCAGCAACUUAAAUUCUAGUGGGGUGUGUUCAUGAAUAAACUGCUGUGGAUUAUGUGGAUCAGGCCUUACGGAAAUAGGAAAAGCUCAAGGUCCUAAGGGUUCUCCAGCCAUAGCAGUAGAGUGUAAAGUUCUUUGUAUUGGGGUCUCUAUUUCUGCUACUGAAGGAGGCGGUUCAGAUGUUUCUGCUACUAGAGGGGGUGACACAGGCCAAUUUUCAUCCUCCUGCUCCUGUUUAUUAUUUUUAAUUGGCGCUGUUGAGAGAACAGAAAGAUUCUUUCAAAUUUUUUGACUCUGAACAUGACUCCUGCUGUCUAGCAGAAUAAGAAAUGAAUAAUGGCAGGAUGAACUAAACUCCAAAUAUAAAAAAGAAAAUAGCCAAAUUCUUCCCCCAUGUUACCCUGAUUCAGAAACUUCCCGUUCCCAGUACCUCUUUAGGGCACUGACCUUAUAUUAGCUGUCAGCAGACUCGUCGCAGGGUUUCUCAUUCUCGUUCUUCUUGUCAGUGUCAGUUUCUCUGCUCCAGCAGACCUUCACUCACGUCCCUGUCCUAGGUGCCAGUUGUCGCUGUUGGUUGUUAUGGGAGUGAACGAAGGGGGAUGAAUGCAGAAACGAAGACAAAGACAAAAAGUAUUUUUGGAAGAAGGGGUCAGGGGGCUCCUUCUAGUGAGCAAGGGCCCUGAGCUUCUACAGCCCUUCGUAUUUAUUAGGUAGAAAGAGCAGGGAGGGAGAGGUAGCAGUUGGUCAGUUGCUUGAUUUAUCACAGGUAUACAUAAUUGCUUUCUUUGUACAACAGGCUUCAGAUGUUCCUAUAGAUAAUCACAAGGAACACUGUGCUUGGGGUGUGACUGCCCUCAGCAACCCUUCUGGCAGCAGACACAGUUGUUAGUUUUCCAACAUCCUGCUUUCAUGAGAACAGUUUUCUAUUUGCUCAUAUAGCCUCCAGUGGUAUACUGAGUUGGUCACGACCCUCAUUCUUUCGGCCUGUAACAGGCUCAUGCCUGUAAUGCCAGCACUUUUGGAGGCCGAGGCAAGAGGAUAGCUUGAGCUCAGGAGUUGGAGACCAGCCUGGGCAACACGGUGAAACCCCAUCUCUGCAAAAAUUAGCCUGGUGUGGUGGGGUGCGCCUGUAGUCUCAGCUGCUUGUGGGGCUGAGGCGGGAGAAUAGCUUGAGCUCCAGGGGUCGAGGCUGCAGUGAGCCAUAAUGGUGCUGCUGCAUUCCAGCCUGGGUGACAAAGUGAGACUAUCUCAAAAAAAAAAACGGCUGUUAGAUAAAAAUGAAGACAAACAACAUUUGCAAGGAUAUAAAUCUUAACCCAUUUAUUGGGGGUAUAGGCUCUGGUGUCAGAUUUCCAUCUGUCCUGUAUUUUGUAACCACAAAAUUGUCCUGGCUGGAUUAAUUGUAAGGAAGUCCCUUUAAACACAUCUAGACUUCCAAAGUUUGUUUACAUACUAAUUAGUUGUCAUGAAAAGCUGCAUUCAACCCAGGGUCUGAGAUGCCUUUUGUAUAUGAAAAGUGCUUCUCUUUCUGACACUGACUGAAUUACAUACAUAACAGAUUCAUUUAUUUAAAAACAAUUUAAGAGGCUUUUUCUAUAAUGCUGAACCUGCUGUGUGGUAUUUAUGUUUAAUUCUGGUCAAAUUUUCAAAACUAAUAAACACUGCAAUUCAAAACCAUUAAUUAUCAAGCAUAGACCAAGUAUCUGAGGUUAUGAGCACAUAUUUAAGAGGUUAGACUCUGGCAUUCCAGACAUUGCAAAUAAUACUUUUCUCAUUUCUAAAUUUCCUAGAAACAAGUGGAGAUUUGUAAAAGGAAAUAAUACUCUUUAAAACAUUUAUUUUUGACUCAGGAUCUGGCUCUGUUGCCCUAGCUAGAGUGCAGUGGUGCCAUCAUCACAGCUCACACAAUAGCCUGGAACUACUGGGCUCAAACCAUCCUCCCACCUCAGCCUCCCAAGUAGCUGGGACUGCAGAUGCAGGCCAUCAUGUCCCGCUAAGUUUUAUUUUAUUUUUGUAGAGACAGAGUCUAUGUUGCUCAGGCUGGUCCUGAACUCCCGGCAUCAAGUGAUCCUCCCACCUCCCAAUAAAACAUGUACUGAUGGCCAGGCACUUGGCUCACGCCUGUAAUCCCAGCACUUUGGGAGGCCGAGGCGGGCAGAUCAUGAGGUCAAGAGAUCAAGACCAUUCUGGCCAACAUGGUGAAACCCUGUCUCUACUAAAAAUACAAAAAUUAGCCAGGUGUGGUGGCACGCGCCGGUAGUCUCAGCUACUCCGGAGGCCGAGGCAGGAUAAUUGCUUGAACCCCAGAGGCGGAGGUUGCAGUGAGCCGAGAUCGUGCCACUGCACUCCAGCCUGGCGACAGAGCAAGACUCUGUCUCAAAAAAAAAAAAAAAACCAAAAACCAAAAAAUCAAAACCAAAACCAUGUAUUGAUAUCAAAGUUUUUUUAUCCUGGCAGGGCACAGUGGCUCACGCCUGUAAUCCCAGCACUUUGGGAGGCUGAGGCAGGUGGAUCACGAGGUCAGGAGUUCAAGACCAGCCUGGCCAAGAUGGUGAAGACCCGUCUCUACUAAAAAUACAAAAAUUAGCCAGGCGCAGUGGCAGGCGCCUGUAAUCCCAGCUACUCGGGAGGCUGAGGCAGGAGAAUCGUUUGAAACCAGGAGGGUAGAGGUUGCAGUGAGCCAAGAUUGUGCCACUGUACUCCAGCCUGGGUGACAGAGUGAUACUAUGUCUCAAAAAAAAAAAAAAAAAAAAAAGAAAAAGAAAAAAGAAAGAAAGUUGCUUUAUCUUUAAAACUAUAUAUAUUGUUUUCACCCCUACAUAGUCCUUGCCUCCCAGACAUCUCCUCACUAACGUCAGUAGACAAUUUGGCAUCUGAUGGUUUGAAAUAGUUUCUGUAAUCAAAUCCUGAAUAAAAUCCAUUUUAAAGC
This 13908-nucleotide long non-coding RNA is filed under the name Homo sapiens (human). RNAcentral describes it as "HSALNT0319269". The record is from RNAcentral. Lineage: Eukaryota; Metazoa; Chordata; Mammalia; Primates; Hominidae.